Molecule: long non-coding RNA, 1044 nt
Organism: Passer domesticus (house sparrow)
Lineage: Eukaryota; Metazoa; Chordata; Aves; Passeriformes; Passeridae
Exons: 4
Source: RefSeq, a predicted model, not a curated record
CGUCCGACUCCCACAAACUUACCUGAGCCCCUUGCAGUGCCCAGUUCCCUGAGGCAGAAGGGGAAUCCAACACACCAUGGAAAUGGGUCUGAUCUCUGCUCCCUUCUAGAUGAGGUGUUUGGGAAGGCUUCUCCAUUAGCUUGGCUGCAUAAAGUGUUGGUCCUAUCUGAGCCCCUCUCAGGUGUGUCUGCAGCAAGGACUUCUCCAGCUCCUUUGCUGAUUCCUGCACAGAAGCCUGGCUCCCAUGGCAGGGGUGAGUAGUGUGUCCCUGAUGACCCCACCGGCUGAGCCCUGCUCUUGUGGGAUCCAUUCCUGGGAAAUGGAACUCUGUUGCUCUAAGGUCCUCCGAGGGGAAAGAACAAAGGCAAAGGACACCAGAAACCCCAUGAGACAUCCAAAAAUAUGAGGCAAAUGCUGAAGGAAAUGCAGCAGGCAGGAGGACAAGAUGCAGCCGGCACCACAACACAUGCUGAAAACAUCGGGAAGAGCACAAGAGUUUUCUGCUGGGUAACACCGUGUUUGAAGAAGUUGAUGGCCAUUGUGGCUGGUGCAGCACUUUGCCUGAUGAUGUGCUGUGCCAUAAUCUGGUAUUGCUGGAAGAGAAAACGGCAUCACAUUGAAGAAAAACUGAAAGCUGCUGGCUGGACACGAGAUCUCUACUGCUGGAACAGCAACAGCAGCAUCUCUGACUCGGACGAGUUUUCAUUUUAGCACCACCAAGCUCUACGGUGACUUGAGGCCCCCUCCUUCCAGUACCGAAGGCGAAAGCCCACUGGAAAGGCUGUGGGAAGUGCUCAAGUGAAUAAUGACUGAGAGCUUCCAAAAUCUGCUUCCAAAUUUUCAAAGUAGUUUUAGAAUCCUGAAAUGCAACCCUAUUUUCUAUUUGCUUUUCUUUUUUAGAAAUAUUUAGAAAUAUUUUUUUGUAGAAACAAAUCCCCCAGUGUUUCUUCCCCACUUCCACAAUAUGUCUAUGUUUUUGAAAGUAGUUUUACAGUUCUGGAAAGUUUUUUUGCACUAAUACAAUAAAAAUAAAAUAAAAUGGCA